GGCCUGGUGGUGAAAUAUAUCAUACCCGUGUUGCUUGGAUCGGAUUUGCAACCAGAAUUCCGCGGGUGUUCCUGGUUCGAAUCCAGGCUGGGUCA
Mycena polygramma is the source of this 95-nucleotide non-coding RNA. Lineage: Eukaryota; Fungi; Basidiomycota; Agaricomycetes; Agaricales; Mycenaceae. The record is from the annotation of a GenBank genome assembly.